ACACACACACACACACACACACUUGUGUGUGUGUGUGUGUGUGU
Molecule: microRNA precursor, 44 nt
Filed under: Podarcis lilfordi (Lilford's wall lizard)
Lineage: Eukaryota; Metazoa; Chordata; Lepidosauria; Squamata; Lacertidae
Source: RNAcentral